UGUAUGCAUGUGGUGUCUUACUAAUGAC
This 28-nucleotide non-coding RNA is filed under the name Mus musculus (house mouse). The record is from RNAcentral. Lineage: Eukaryota; Metazoa; Chordata; Mammalia; Rodentia; Muridae.